This is a long non-coding RNA of Eupeodes corollae, 430 nucleotides long. RefSeq lists it as uncharacterized. The transcript has 2 exons. Lineage: Eukaryota; Metazoa; Arthropoda; Insecta; Diptera; Syrphidae. The record is from RefSeq and is a predicted model, not a curated record.
UGAAACGUCGAAAAAUGUCAAAUGGCAAGCCUCAUUCGACCCAGUGGUUUGUAUGGGCCGAGGACAUAGAAACAGACGGACGGAAUCGGGGGACCACUUUUUCGACCUCUCUACCAUCGUAAUGUCAUGUUUGAUUAAAAUCUCGAUUUCAAUUUUAUGUCUUUAAGAGUGCAAGUCUCUCAAAGCUGAGGUAUACAUACAAAGACAGUUCGAAGGACCUUGAAGAAUUUCGAGAAUGGCGAAUAAGCAGCGUUUUUGUGACUGUGCCUUUUUUUGUAAGGGUCCGCAGCCAGCCUCACAGCUCCUACACUUGUUUAAUUAUAAUUUUUAAUUAUGCAAUGAAUUUUAAACUUGUGACAUAUAAGGCUAGUUUUUAAGACGUGCGGUUUCCAAGAAGAAAUAAAAUGCAUAUAAUUUAAUGUCAAUAUAA